Molecule: unclassified non-coding RNA, 1917 nt
Filed under: Penaeus chinensis
Lineage: Eukaryota; Metazoa; Arthropoda; Malacostraca; Decapoda; Penaeidae
Description: rAC-alpha serine/threonine-protein kinase-like, transcript variant X1
Source: RNAcentral
GAAGGCAGACUUCUGAAAGCCACUCCAAACAGCUGAGUUUACGGGUUUUCUUCUUCGAGGUCCAAAACCAUCCUAAUAAUUUUUGAUUUUUUCCUUCAUUAAUUGGGGAAGAAGACCGAAUCUAAUGAAGGAGAAGGAGGAAGGAGUGGAGAUAAGGGUAAACAGUGUACCUUACAACCACUAAGAUUGAUUACAACUCAGCAACCAUGGGUGAGGCGGGAGAGGCGCCGACCCCAGCUGUGGUGAAAGAGGGAUGGCUCAACAAACGAGGUGAGCACAUCAAGAAUUGGCGGCAGCGGUACUUCUUCCUCCUAGAGGAUGGGACUCUCCUGGGCUUCAAGACCAAGCCAGAACAUGGACUGGCAGACCCCCUUAAUAAUUUCACUGUAAAGCGCUGCCAGAUUCUGAAAACAGAGAAGCCACGUCCCAACACUUUUAUUAUACGAGGUCUACAUUGGACUACUGUCAUAGAGCGAACUUUUAAUGCACAGUCUGCUAGUGACAGAGAAGCAUGGAUGGAAGCAAUAAAGCAAGUGGCGGAGCGAAUAGCAGAGGUGGAUGCAACGUCUGGUCAGAAUGUCCAGAUCCAGCCAGCAGAUUGCGUUGACAUUAAACUCAAUUAUUCACAGGAGGAUGAUGAUGGGCUUGGGGCGAGAAGCUCAAAGAAGAAAAGAAAAAUUACAUUGGAUAAUUUUGAAUUCUUAAAGGUACUUGGGAAAGGCACAUUUGGAAAAGUAAUCUUGUGUCGAGAGAAGAGUAGUAAUCACUUUUAUGCUAUCAAGAUCCUUCGUAAGGAUGUAAUUAUUAAACGCGAUGAAGUUGCUCACACACUGACAGAAAACCGAGUAUUGCAAAGGGUUGACCACCCUUUCUUAACGUACCUCAAGUACUCAUUCCAAACAAAUGACCGCCUGUGCUUUGUAAUGGAAUAUGUGAAUGGUGGAGAGCUCUUCUUCCACCUCAACCAGGAACGCAUCUUCCCAGAGGAACGUGCCAAAUUCUACGGGGCUGAGAUCUGCUUAGCUCUGGGAUACCUUCACGAGAGAAACAUUAUAUAUCGUGAUUUAAAGCUAGAGAACUUACUCCUGGAUGCUGAUGGUCACAUUAAGAUUGCUGAUUUUGGUUUAUGCAAAGAAGAUAUAUCAUAUGGUUCUACGACACGAACUUUCUGUGGUACACCAGAGUAUCUGGCUCCUGAGGUACUGGAAGAAAAUGACUAUGGACGAGGUGUUGAUUGGUGGGGCUAUGGAGUGUGUCUCUAUGAGAUGAUGGUAGGACGUCUUCCCUUUUAUGACAAAGAUCAUGACAAACUCUUCCAACUCAUCGUUUGUGAAGAUGUAAGAUUCCCACGUACAAUAUCACAAGAAGCACGAGACCUCCUCAGGGGCCUGCUGCACAAGGACCCAAACACACGUCUUGGAGGUGGACCUAGAGAUGUAAAAGAGGUUCAGAAUCACCCCUUCUACAUCACCAUCAACUGGAAAUUACUGGAGGAGAAGAAAAUCACACCUCCUUUCAAACCACAAGUAACAAGUGAGACGGAUACACGGUACUUCGACCGAGAGUUUACAGGAGAGUCGGUGCAGCUCACUCCCCCAGACCAGGGAGAACAUCUCAACAGUAUUGAUGAAGAGUCAGAAUACUUUACGUUCAACCAGUUUUCAUACCAGGAUAUCUCAUCAACCCUUGGCAGCUCACUAGCAUCAAGCAUCAAUUCCCUAGAUGUUACAGAAGAAGGGUAAAGUGAAACUUUAUACAAGGGUUCUCUAAGAAUACUGAGAUACGAAUAUCCAAAAUGAGUGAUCUUCAGCCAAACUGGACAUGUAGAUUCCUUGUCAACACUUACACAGUGCACAUGGACAGUGCUGUAUACAUAUAUAUAUUAGUAAGGGAGGAAGAAUGGUGUGUAAGAAUCAG